ACAAUGGGGGCCCAAGGUGAGAUGAAGCUGUAAUCUCACUGGAAGGACUAGAGGUUAGAGGAGACCCCCCCGAAAUAAAAAACAGCAUAUUGACGCUGGGAAAGACCAGAGAUCCUGCUGUCUCCUCAGCAUCAUUCCAGGCACAGAACGCCAGAAAAUGGAAUGGUGCUGUUGAAUCAACAGGUUCU
Molecule: long non-coding RNA, 188 nt
Filed under: dengue virus type 2
Lineage: Riboviria; Orthornavirae; Kitrinoviricota; Flasuviricetes; Amarillovirales; Flaviviridae
Description: Dengue virus type 2 sfRNA4
Rfam family: Flavivirus 3' UTR cis-acting replication element (CRE) (bases 96-188)
Source: RNAcentral